RNAcentral lists this ribosomal RNA (452 nucleotides) under uncultured bacterium. RNAcentral describes it as "bacterial SSU rRNA". It matches the Rfam family "Bacterial small subunit ribosomal RNA", at positions 340 to 786 of the family's 1533-position model. The record is from RNAcentral.
UACGGGAGGCAGCAGGGGGAAUAUUGCACAAUGGGCGCAAGCCUGAUGCAGCCAUGCCGCGCGUAUGAAGAAGGCCUUCGGGUUGUAAAGUACUUUCAGUCGUGAGGAAGGUGUUAAGGUUAAUAACCUUAGCAAUUGACGUUAGCGACAGAAGAAGCACCGGCUAACUCCGUGCCAGCAGCCGCGGUAAUACGGAGGGUGCGAGCGUUAAUCGGAAUUACUGGGCGUAAAGGGCACGCAGGCGGUUAAUUAAGUUGGAUGUGAAAUCCCCGGGCUUAACCUGGGAAUGGCAUUCAAGCUGGUUAGCUAGAGUCUUGUAGAGGGGGUAGAAUUCCAUGUGUAGCGGUGAAAUGCGUAGAGAUGUGGAGGAAUACCGGUGGCGAAGGCGGCCCCUGGACAAAGACUGACGCUCAUGUGCGAAAGCGUGGGGAGCGAAACAGGGAUUAGAUACC